GGUAUCAUGUUAUGCAAGUAUGUAUAUAUACAAAUUAAUAUAUUCUUUAUAUUAAAAAAAUUUUUGAUGGAAAAAGUUAUUUGAUGUCUCUGUUUUCAGGCUAUUGUCCGUUGGCUUUCAAAGACAGACUCUGGAAUCAGUGGACCAUCAAAUACUGAUGUCAGAUCAGAAAUAAUUUCCUUCAUCAGAAAGAUGAAGCUUUGUGCAACACUUCAAGAUUUUAAGUCAGCUGCUGAGCAAUUCCUAAAGAGGUUUGAAGAUUUCCCAGCUCUUUGCUCAUACUUCAAGGAUCACUGGCUGGAAAUAGGACACACAUGGUCUGACUUUGGACGGUGCUACAACCAUGCCGACUCCGAUACAAACAAUCUUGUUGAAAGAUUUUUCCAUCGCCUAAAAUAUCAGUUUUUGGGUGGCAUAAGGAACCGUAGACUGGAUGAUCUUAUCAGCAUUCUCGUCAAGAAGACAGAUGGAUACUUCCAGGUCAUUCAUGAUUUACAGGCAGUUGGAAGAAUGAAAAAUGCCUCUUUGAAGUCAGGAGAAAUACUUAAGUCAGCCUCUAGA
Long non-coding RNA from Carassius carassius (crucian carp), 561 nucleotides. RefSeq lists it as uncharacterized. NCBI's taxonomy places the organism in Eukaryota, Metazoa, Chordata, Actinopteri, Cypriniformes, Cyprinidae. The transcript is spliced from 3 exons. The record is from RefSeq and is a predicted model, not a curated record.